Molecule: microRNA, 23 nt
Filed under: Pristionchus pacificus
Lineage: Eukaryota; Metazoa; Nematoda; Chromadorea; Rhabditida; Neodiplogasteridae
Description: ppc-miR-8216-3p
Source: miRBase by way of RNAcentral
AGGCAAGACGUGCGUGGCUGCAU